GGGCUUCAUGUGACAUGUAUGCAAUUAUAAACAAUACUACUGCUUGAAGGACAUUGGAGGAGUGGCAGAAGUCUCCAGUCUCUACUCUACUACAAACAAAGGUGGUGUGAUACGGGUUGUGUGCUGGUUUUCAGGUUGCCCAGCACUGUCCACUGUCAGAUGACACGGAUGGGACCAGCAGUUGUUGUAAAGGAAACUCCUGAACUGACCAGAAGCUGCCAAAGAUGCUGUCUACUACCACAAUACUAAAGUUCUGGGCAUUUAGCCCGACCCAGUACCAAGUAUGGAUGUAUUAUAUUUGAAAUUGUGGUAUUCUCA
Molecule: long non-coding RNA, 318 nt
Filed under: Fukomys damarensis (Damara mole-rat)
Lineage: Eukaryota; Metazoa; Chordata; Mammalia; Rodentia; Bathyergidae
Description: lncRNA (ENSFDAG00000027298.1)
Source: RNAcentral